AUUGAACGCUGGCGGCAUGCCUUACACAUGCAAGUCGAACGGUAACGGGCCUUCGGGUGCCGACGAGUGGCGAACGGGUGAGUAAUACAUCGGAACGUGCCCGAUCGUGGGGGAUAACGAGGCGAAAGCUUUGCUAAUACCGCAUACGAUCUACGGAUGAAAGCAGGGGACCGCAAGGCCUUGCGCGGACGGAGCGGCCGAUGGGAGAUUAGGUAGUUGGUGGGAUAAAAGCUUACCAAGCCGACGAUCUGUAGCUGGUCUGAGAGGAUGAACAGCCACACUGGGACUGAGACACGGCCCAGACUCCUACGGGAGGCAGCAGUGGGGAAUUUUGGACAAUGGGCGCAAGCCUGAUCCAGCCAUGCCGCGUGCAGGAUGAAGGCCUUCGGGUUGUAAACUGCUUUUGUACGGAACGAAAAGCCUUCUUUUAUUACAGGAGGGUCAUGACGGUACCGGAAGAAUAAGCACCGGCUAACUACGUG
This 482-nucleotide ribosomal RNA is filed under the name uncultured bacterium. Its description in RNAcentral is "partial 16S ribosomal RNA". It matches the Rfam family "Bacterial small subunit ribosomal RNA", at positions 30 to 507 of the family's 1533-position model. The record is from RNAcentral.